GGCGGCGUGCCUAAUACAUGCAAGUCGAGCGAAUGGAUUAAGAGCUUGCUCUUAUGAAGUUAGCGGCGGACGGGUGAGUAACACGUGGGUAACCUGCCCAUAAGACUGGGAUAACUCCGGGAAACCGGGGCUAAUACCGGAUAACAUUUUGAACCGCAUGGUUCGAAAUUGAAAGGCGGCUUCGGCUGUCACUUAUGGAUGGACCCGCGUCGCAUUAGCUAGUUGGUGAGGUAACGGCUCACCAAGGCAACGAUGCGUAGCCGACCUGAGAGGGUGAUCGGCCACACUGGGACUGAGACACGGCCCAGACUCCUACGGGAGGCAGCAGUAGGGAAUCUUCCGCAAUGGACGAAAGUCUGACGGAGCAACGCCGCGUGAGUGAUGAAGGCUUUCGGGUCGUAAAACUCUGUUGUUAGGGAAGAACAAGUGCUAGUUGAAUAAGCUGGCACCUUGACGGUACCUAACCAGAAAGCCACGGCUAACUACGUGCCAGCAGCC
Molecule: ribosomal RNA, 498 nt
Filed under: uncultured bacterium
Lineage: Bacteria
Description: bacterial SSU rRNA
Rfam family: Bacterial small subunit ribosomal RNA
Source: RNAcentral